GAUUCCCCUCACAGAUAUUUUCCUGUCUCUUCUGAAGGGCCAGUCUUCUCGGGAGUUGAAGUGAGUGGUUGCUAAGUGUGGAGUCAGCAGUAGACUGGGAACAGGAGGGCAGAGGGCCUGGCAAGAGCCCAUGGGGGUUUCCCGGGGUUUCCAAAGAGGCUUCCAGUUGGGUGUCCACCAGAUCACACCCACAGAAACCACUUCUUCCCUCCAGAAACUUCCCAGACCUCUUACCACCACACAAGGGAUUUAAGAACUGAACAAUCUUUUGGGGAUGUCCAGUAAAGGGAAUGGUGAGGCGGCUCCAAAAGGAAACAAAGGGAGUGUUUAGCUGGUUGGUGAGCUCAGGUAUCAGUCCCAGAGAGCCGAUUUCUCUGCUUUGCUUUGUCUGUUAGUACUCAUUUUGCUUUGCAACCAGAAACACAUUUCAGUUUGAAAUUGUACCCAGGCUGCACCCUCCCUCUCCGACGUUAGGGUGCACCCACUCUUCUCAGGCCCAAUCAGGCAGCGAUGUGCCUUGCAUCCAGACAAGGAGUAAAUAUCAUUCUGGAGCCCUCAGUGAAUAUCAUUCUGGAGUAAUAGCUUCUUCAUAAUAAGGACUUACAAGUAACUCAUUACCUCCUCACCAGCCAAAAAUACUCAUUUCUCCAGGGCACAUCUACAAGACGAGGAAACCAGAGAGGGGACAAAUCUCCCAGACCUGUGGGAGGGAAGAAAAGAGACAACCUGAGCUGGAAGUAACCCUGGGCCAAUCCUAAAACCACGUGCAGAUCCACGGAGGACUAAUGUGGAACUGAAUUUUUCUGUGUGUUAUUUUAGAUUGUAUUCUUUUCUAAAAUCACAGUACAAAAUGUUUUCAAAACUAUACUGAGCAAUGACUUGAGAUCACUGACCUAAGGUUUCUACCUCCACAAAGAGCAGUAUUUCAGCUCACUCUUCUUGGUGAUGAAUAAAUUGACUUCCAACUAUGAAUAAUCUGAAAAUAAGCAUUUUGUGGACUCUCACUGACCAUUGUUAAAUCGGUUUCUCUCUUGGCAGAAUCCAACCAGAAGCCAAAGGAAAGGAAGCCGGUUGAUAUGAUUGCAGGAGACACUGUAGGGACCCCACACACAUCACCUUGACAUUUAGAGUCUCAUGUUAUAUUUGCCAAAAUCACCUUUUAGCAUUUUUAUUACAUGAUUACAUAGGAACUGCCAACAGGUUCAUUCCAGUAGUUCCUAUAGACACAUGUUCAGAUCCCUGUUGACUCAGCUUCCUAGAUCCUUCAGUCUUCUCAUGCUUCUCAUUGUAAGUAUAGGGAUUCCAGAAAGCAUACUGUCUUGGACAGGAUAUAUACACGGUGCCUAGUAGACUCCCUUCUAAGAAAGCUCUUGAGUGACUUCCACACUUCUUGCCUGCUGCUGAAGACUUCCUUAUCCCUCAUUACCAUGCGUUUUUAUCAUUGAUCUCCUUAUCCUAGGAAUAUCCAGAGUGGAAUUAAGCAGGCAGAUAUCUAUGUUUGCCAACAAGGUUUUAGAGGGAUUGUCAAGCACACGUGUUGCCCUGGAAUUUUAACUGACUGACUAAACUAAAAUUUGGAUGUGAGAGAGUGUAAGACAGCCAGGUAACUAGUAGCAUUUAGAGAAGACAGCAGUUAAAUUGCCAACGUAUUAGAGCACUGGAGUAAGAUUAGAC
Molecule: long non-coding RNA, 1674 nt
Filed under: Homo sapiens (human)
Lineage: Eukaryota; Metazoa; Chordata; Mammalia; Primates; Hominidae
Description: HSALNT0045723
Source: RNAcentral